AUGAACGAUGAACGAAGCUUUUACGGGUUUGGAACGAAAUGGGGCGGUCUGCUGAGACGACGGUGAGAUGUUGGAUGGAGACUGGAGCUCUUCGUCCCCGUCCGGGAAGUUCACAAACCCACAGUGAGCUCUGUGUGACAAGCCUCCAUGACACCCAGUUUCACAACUGAAGCUCUCUGCCUGAGGGAGCGUCUACUUCCACCUGCCCAAAUGCUGGGUUAUCAUUCUGAUCCCCCUGUUCUCCACUAAACUCCGUCACCAGACCAUCCCCUGCCCACCAUCACCAUACUCACCAUAUAAAGCCGAAGAAAGUUGUUCAACUCCUCUGUGCUCCGUGCA
Long non-coding RNA from Cyprinus carpio carpio, 339 nucleotides. The record is from Ensembl. NCBI's taxonomy places the organism in Eukaryota, Metazoa, Chordata, Actinopteri, Cypriniformes, Cyprinidae.